Molecule: ribosomal RNA, 891 nt
Filed under: Bacillus sonorensis
Lineage: Bacteria; Bacillati; Bacillota; Bacilli; Caryophanales; Bacillaceae
Description: bacterial SSU rRNA
Rfam family: Bacterial small subunit ribosomal RNA
Source: RNAcentral
ACGCAGUGCGGUGCUAUACAUGCAGUCGAGCGGACAGAUGGGAGCUUGCUCCCUGAUGUCAGCGGCGGACGGGUGAGUAACACGUGGGUAACCUGCCUGUAAGACUGGGAUAACUCCGGGAAACCGGGGCUAAUACCGGAUGCUUGAUUGAACCGCAUGGUUCAAUUAUAAAAGGUGGCUUCUGCUACCCCUUACCGAUGGACCCCCGGCGCAUUAACUAAUUGGGGAGGGAACGGCUCACCCAGGGGACCAUGGGUAACCCACCUGAAAGGGUGAUCGGCCACCCUGGGACUGAAACACGGCCCAAACUCCUACGGGAGGGAGCAGUAAGGAAUCUUCCGCAAUGGACCAAAGUCUGACGGAACAACCCCGCGUGAGUGAUGAAGGGUUUCCGAUCGUAAAACUCUGGUGGUAAGGAAGAACCAGUACCGGUCCAAUAGGGCGGGACCUUGACGGUACCUAACCAGAAAGCCACGGCUAACUACCUGCCAGCAGCCGCGGUAAUACCUAAGUGGCAAGCGUUGUCCGGAAUUAUUGGGCGUAAAGCGCGCGCAGGCGGUUUCCUAAGUCUGAUGUGAAAGGCCCCGGCUCCACCGGGGAGGGUCAUUGGAAACUGGGGAACUUGAGUGGAGAAGAGGAGAGUGGAAUUUCACGUGGUAGCGGUGAAAUGGCGUAGAGAUGUGGAAGGAACAACAGUGGCGAAGCGACUCUUCUGGUCUGUAACUGACGCUGAAGCGCGUAAGCGUGCGGGAGCCCAACAGGAUUAAUACCUGGUAGUUCAGUGCCGUAAACGAUGAUGCUAGUGUUAGAGGUUUCGGCUUAAUGCUGCACAAGCAUUAGACUCGCUGGGGAGUACGGUCCCAGACUGAACUCAAUGAAUUGAACGCAUAA